GGGGAUUUAGCUCAGUGGUAGAGCGCUUGCCUAGCAAGCACAAGACCCUGGGUUCAGUCCCCAGCUCCG
Molecule: non-coding RNA, 69 nt
Organism: Rattus norvegicus (Norway rat)
Lineage: Eukaryota; Metazoa; Chordata; Mammalia; Rodentia; Muridae
Source: Rfam